AAUUUUAUUUAAGGUCUGACCUGCCCUAUGAGAAAUUAAAUGGCCGCGGUAUUUUAACCGUGCAAAGGUAGCAUAGUCACUUGUCUCUUAAUUGGAGGCUUGAAUGAAGGGUUGGACGAGAUAUAAACUUUCUUUAUUAUAAUYAGUUGAAUUUGACUUUUGAGUCAAAAGGCUUAAAUAUAUUUAUAGGACGAGAAGACCCUAUAGAAUUUUAUAUUUUUAUUUUAAUAAUUUAUUUGUUUAUGAUUAAAUUUUUUUUAUAAAAAUAUUUUGUUGGGGCGAUGGGAAGAUUUUUUUAACUCU
This 303-nucleotide ribosomal RNA is filed under the name Belostoma angustum. RNAcentral's name for it is "partial large subunit ribosomal RNA". Lineage: Eukaryota; Metazoa; Arthropoda; Insecta; Hemiptera; Belostomatidae. The record is from RNAcentral.